This 515-nucleotide ribosomal RNA is filed under the name Parnassius charltonius (regal apollo). Its description in RNAcentral is "partial 16S rRNA". The stretch from base 388 to 515 matches the Rfam family "Bacterial large subunit ribosomal RNA", at positions 2473 to 2600 of the family's 2925-position model. The record is from RNAcentral. Lineage: Eukaryota; Metazoa; Arthropoda; Insecta; Lepidoptera; Papilionidae.
GUCUUUUUGAUUAAUAAUUUAAAGUCUAAUCUGCCCACUGAUAAUAUAUUAAAGGGCUGCAGUAUUUUGACUGUACAAAGGUAGCAUAAUCAUUAGUCUCUUAAUUGGUGACUUGUAUGAAAGAUUUAAUGAAAUAUAUACUGUCUCUUUUUAAUUUAUAAAAUUUAAUUUUUUAGUUAAAAAGCUAAAAUAUAUUUAAAAGACGAGAAGACCCUAUAGAGUUUAAUAUUUAAUUAAAUUAAAAUUUUUUAUAAGAUUUAAAAUUUUAAUUUUAGUAAAUAUUUUGUUGGGGUGACAAAAAAAUUAAAAAAACUUUUUUUAUAAAUUUACAUAAAUAAAUGAGUAAUUGAUCCGUAAUUUACGAUUAAAAGAAAAAAUUACCUUAGGGAUAACAGCGUAAUUUUUUUUUUUAGUUCAAAUAAGAAAAAAAGUUUGCGACCUCGAUGUUGGAUUAAGAUAAAAUUUAAAUGUAAAAGUUUAAAAUUUUUGAUCUGUUCGAUCAUUAAAAUCUUACA